CGGAGAGGUGGCAGAGUGGUCGAAUGCGCUCGACUUGAAAUCGAGUGUGGCAGUGAUGUCACCGUGGGUUCAAAUCCCACCCUCUCCGU
RNAcentral lists this transfer RNA (89 nucleotides) under Microcoleus asticus IPMA8. RNAcentral describes it as "tRNA-Ser". It matches the Rfam family "tRNA". Rfam says of the family: Transfer RNA (tRNA) molecules are approximately 80 nucleotides in length. Lineage: Bacteria; Bacillati; Cyanobacteriota; Cyanophyceae; Oscillatoriales; Microcoleaceae. The record is from RNAcentral.